CCUACGGGAGGCAGCAGUGAGGAAUAUUGGUCAAUGGCCGAGAGUCUGAACCAGCCAAGUAGCGUGAAGGAUGACUGCCCUAUGGUUUGUAAACUUCUUUUAUAGGGGAAUAAAGUUUUCCACGUGUGGGAUUUUGUAUGUACCCUAUGAAUAAGGAUCGGCUAACUCCGUGCCAGCAGCCGCGGUAAUACGGAGGAUCCGAGCGUUAUCCGGAUUUAUUGGGUUUAAAGGGAGCGUAGGUGGAUUGUUAAGUCAGCGGUGAAAGUUUGCGGCUCAACCGUAAAAUUGCAGUUGAAACUGGCAGUCUUGAGUAUAGUAGAGGUGGGCGGAAUUCGUGGUGUAGCGGUGAAAUGCUUAGAUAUCACGAAGAACUCCGAUUGCGAAGGCAGCUCACUGGACUGUAACUGACACUGAGGCUCGAAAGUGUGGGGAUCAAACAGGAUUAGAUACCCUAGUAGUC
This 460-nucleotide ribosomal RNA is filed under the name uncultured bacterium. RNAcentral's name for it is "partial 16S ribosomal RNA". It matches the Rfam family "Bacterial small subunit ribosomal RNA", at positions 338 to 795 of the family's 1533-position model. The record is from RNAcentral.